Long non-coding RNA from Sapajus apella (tufted capuchin), 106 nucleotides. RefSeq lists it as uncharacterized. The record is from RefSeq and is a predicted model, not a curated record. NCBI's taxonomy places the organism in Eukaryota, Metazoa, Chordata, Mammalia, Primates, Cebidae. The transcript has 3 exons.
GCAGAGUGCUCCCCUGCGUUUUCAGUGUCCUUAACUUAGCAAUCCUCAAUCUUUUGAGGAGAAAUCUUUUGGUUUCCUUCAACUGGAUAAUACAAAUGUUCUGAGG